This 158-nucleotide ribosomal RNA is filed under the name uncultured Anaplasmataceae bacterium. Its description in RNAcentral is "partial 16S ribosomal RNA". It matches the Rfam family "Bacterial small subunit ribosomal RNA", at positions 357 to 536 of the family's 1533-position model. The record is from RNAcentral. Lineage: Bacteria; Pseudomonadati; Pseudomonadota; Alphaproteobacteria; Rickettsiales; Anaplasmataceae.
GCGCAUUUGCGGCAUGCACGACAGCCUGAUCCAGCUAUGCCGCGUGAGUGAUGAAGGCCUUAGGGUUGUAAAACUCUUUCAGCAGGGAAGAUAAUGACGGUACCUGCAGAAGAAGUCCCGGCAAACUCCGUGCCAUCACCCGCGGUAAUACAAUACAC